CCCCCUCAAGUCGGCCCUCCCGGUCGGUCGACUGUUGCAGCUGGUCGACCAAGAUGACUUUGUCGGCUUCAAGGCCCGCGACCUUGUCUCUCCAGGCCGUGCGCAUGUCGCCGAACUUUCUGUAUCCGACCUCUAACUCGGAUAUGUUGAAGACCAGCUGCACAGAAUAAAAACCGACCGUUAAGGGACCAAACUUACGGAAGCUGCAUUAAAAAGCAAGGGAAAGGGG
This 229-nucleotide long non-coding RNA is filed under the name Elaeis guineensis (African oil palm). RNAcentral's name for it is "long non-coding RNA (EGUI_LNC032933)". The record is from RNAcentral. Lineage: Eukaryota; Viridiplantae; Streptophyta; Magnoliopsida; Arecales; Arecaceae.